Molecule: ribosomal RNA, 542 nt
Filed under: uncultured bacterium
Lineage: Bacteria
Description: partial 16S ribosomal RNA
Rfam family: Bacterial small subunit ribosomal RNA
Source: RNAcentral
UGGGGAAUUUUGGACAAUGGGGGAAACCCUGAUCCAGCCAUCCCGCGUGUGCGAUGAAGGCCUUCGGGUUGUAAAGCACUUUUGGCAGGAAAGAAACGUCGCGGGUUAAUACCCCGCGAAACUGACGGUACCUGCAGAAUAAGCACCGGCUAACUACGUGCCAGCAGCCGCGGUAAUACGUAGGGUGCAAGCGUUAAUCGGAAUUACUGGGCGUAAAGCGUGCGCAGGCGGUUCGGAAAGAAAGAUGUGAAAUCCCAGAGCUUAACUUUGGAACUGCAUUUUUAACUACCGGGCUAGAGUGUGUCAGAGGGAGAUGGAAUUCCGCGUGUAGCAGUGAAAUGCGUAGAUAUGCGGAGGAACACCGAUGGCGAAGGCAGCCUCCUGGGAUAACACUGACGCUCAUGCACGAAAGCGUGGGGAGCAAACAGGAUUAGAUACCCUGGUAGUCCACGCCCCUAAACGAUGUCAACUAGCUGUUGGGGGCCCUUCGGGCCUUGGUAGCGCAGCUAACGCGUGAAGUUGACCGCCUGGGGAGUNCGGUC